RNAcentral lists this ribosomal RNA (472 nucleotides) under uncultured bacterium. RNAcentral's name for it is "partial 16S ribosomal RNA". It matches the Rfam family "Bacterial small subunit ribosomal RNA", at positions 28 to 507 of the family's 1533-position model. The record is from RNAcentral.
GACGAACGCUGGCGGCGUGCUUAACACAUGCAAGUCGAACGAGGAACCCGGAGCUUGCUCUGUGGUAUUAGUGGCGAACGGGUGAGUAACACGUGAGUAACCUGCCCUGGACUCUGGGAUAAGCGUUGGAAACGACGUCUAAUACCGGAUAGGACCUUGGAUCGCAUGAUCUGGGGUGGAAAGUUUUUUCGGUCUGGGAUGGACUCGCGGCCUAUCAGCUUGUUGGUGAGGUAAUGGCUCACCAAGGCGUCGACGGGUAGCCGGCCUGAGAGGGUGACCGGCGACAGUGGGACUGAGACACGGACCAGACUCCUACGGGAGGGAGCAGUAGGGAAUAUGGAAAAAUGGGAGAAAGCCUGAGGCAGCAACGCCGAGUGCGGGAGGACGAACAUCGGGUUGGAAACCGAAUUUAGUAGGGAAGAAGGGCUACGGAUUGACGGUACCUGCAGAAAAAGGACCGGCUAACUACGUG